AUCUGGUCUGAGUGCAGUGGUGUUUGCAACUAAUUGAUUACACGAGUUAGAGAUUUCUUUGUUCCUUCUCCAUUCCCCCUGCUUCCCUUGACUAGCCUAAA
Y RNA from Callithrix jacchus (white-tufted-ear marmoset), 101 nucleotides. It matches the Rfam family "Y RNA". From Rfam's summary of the family: Y RNAs are components of the Ro ribonucleoprotein particle (Ro RNP), in association with Ro60 and La proteins. The Y RNAs and Ro60 and La proteins are well conserved, but the function of the Ro RNP is not known. In humans the RNA component can be one of four small RNAs -- hY1, hY3, hY4 and hY5. The record is from Ensembl. Lineage: Eukaryota; Metazoa; Chordata; Mammalia; Primates; Cebidae.